This 606-nucleotide ribosomal RNA is filed under the name uncultured bacterium. RNAcentral's name for it is "bacterial SSU rRNA". It matches the Rfam family "Bacterial small subunit ribosomal RNA", at positions 60 to 653 of the family's 1533-position model. The record is from RNAcentral.
AGUCGAACGGAAAUAUUAUGUAGGAAGCUUCUUAGUUUACUAAGAAGUGGAAUUUUUAGUAUUUUAGUGGCGGACGGGUGAGUAACGCGUGGGUAACCUACCUUACACUGGGGGAUAACAGUUAGAAAUAGCUGCUAAUACCGCAUAAGCACACAGGACCGCAUGGUCUAGUGUGAAAAACUCCGGUGGUGUAAGAUGGACCCGCGUCUGAUUAGCUAGUUGGUGAGGUAAUGGCUCACCAAGGCGACGAUCAGUAGCCGGCCUGAGAGGGUGAACGGCCACAUUGGGACUGAGACACGGCCCAAACUCCUACGGGAGGCAGCAGUGGGGAAUAUUGCACAAUGGGGGAAACCCUGAUGCAGCGACGCCGCGUGAGUGAAGAAGUAUUUCGGUAUGUAAAGCUCUAUCAGCAAGGAAGAAAAUGACGGUACUUGACUAAGAAGCCCCGGCUAACUACGUGCCAGCAGCCGCGGUAAUACGUAGGGGGCAAGCGUUAUCCGGAUUUACUGGGUGUAAAGGGAGCGUAGACGGUUUGGCAAGUCAGAUGUGAAAGCCCGGGGCUCAACCCCGGGACUGCAUUUGAAACUGCGAGACUAGAGUGCAGGA